Molecule: ribosomal RNA, 252 nt
Filed under: uncultured bacterium
Lineage: Bacteria
Description: partial 16S ribosomal RNA
Rfam family: Bacterial small subunit ribosomal RNA
Source: RNAcentral
UACGUAGGUCCCAAGCGUUGUCCGGAUUUAUUGGGCGUAAAGCGAGCGCAGGUGGUUUAUUAAGUCUGGUGUAAAAGGCAGUGGCUCAACCAUUGUAUGCAUUGGAAACUGGUAGACUUGAGUGCAGGAGAGGAGAGUGGAAUUCCAUGUGUAGCGGUGAAAUGCGUAGAUAUAUGGAGGAACACCGGUGGCGAAAGCGGCUCUCUGGCCUGUAACUGACACUGAGGCUCGAAAGCGUGGGGAGCAAACAGG